UACGUAGGGGGCAAGCGUUGUCCGGAAUCAUUGGGCGUAAAGAGCGUGUAGGCGGCUCGAUAAGUCUGCUGUGAAAGUCCAGGGCUCAACCCUGGAAGGCCGGUGGAAACUGUCGGGCUAGAGUCCGGAAGAGGCGAGUGGAAUUCCCGGUGUAGCGGUGAAAUGCGCAGAUAUCGGGAGGAACACCAAUGGCGAAGGCAGCUCGCUGGGACGUGACUGACGCUGAGACGCGAAAGCGUGGGGAGCAAACAGG
RNAcentral lists this ribosomal RNA (253 nucleotides) under uncultured bacterium. RNAcentral describes it as "partial 16S ribosomal RNA". It matches the Rfam family "Bacterial small subunit ribosomal RNA", at positions 524 to 776 of the family's 1533-position model. The record is from RNAcentral.